Drosophila albomicans is the source of this 4382-nucleotide RNA transcript. It is a transcript of the gene named roquin-1, with no coding region annotated. The record is from RefSeq and is a predicted model, not a curated record. NCBI's taxonomy places the organism in Eukaryota, Metazoa, Arthropoda, Insecta, Diptera, Drosophilidae. The transcript is spliced from 5 exons.
UUUAAAUCGUAGUUGCGGUCACCCUGAUCUACUCCCCAUUUUUACAAAAAGCCAAAUGAAAAUUAAAAUAAAAACUUCGUACCUUUAAUUUAAUGCAAUAAUAUGUGCAAUUUGAAGCAUGCCGAUACAGGCGCCCUCAUGGACAGACUUUCUGAACUGUCCCAUCUGCUGCAAUGAGUUUGCAGCCAGUCAGCGUGUACCGAUCAGCCUGGGAUGUGGUCACACGAUAUGCAAGCUAUGCCUGACCACGCUCUACAAUCGCCAAUGUCCCUUCGAUCAGACAUUGAUUGUAACGGAGAUCGACAACUUGCCCAUUAACUAUGCACUGCUGCAGCUGGUGGGAAGUGGAAAUGGAGGUGGCGGCGUGGCAGGAGGCAAGGCAGUGGCCAGCAAGGACUCAGAGCUGGCCGAUCUGGCACCAAGUGUACAGAAACUGCAGCCCGAACAACUCAAAUGCUAUAAGCUGGGCAAGAAAUGCAUCGAGGAUCUGGCGCUGCACCUCAAAUCAUUUCUCAAUCUAAACAGCAGCAAUCUGCUGACAAGACCCAUGCAGCGCAAACUCGUCACCCUGGUCAACUGUCAGCUGAUGGAGGAAGAGGGUCGUGUGCGUGCUUUACGCGCUGCUCGCUCGCUAGGCGAACGGACGGUGACCGAACUGAUACUGCAGCAUCAGAAUCCCCAGCAGCUUAGCUCCAAUCUGUGGGCAGCAGUGCGGACACGCGGCUGCCAAUUCCUGGGCCCAGCGAUGCAGGAGGAAGUGUUGAAACUGGUCUUGCUGGCACUGGAAGAGGGUUCGGCGUUGUCGCGCAAGGUGCUGGUUAUGUUUGUGGUGCAACGGCUGGAGCCACACUUUCCACAAGCCUCCAAGACUAGCAUUGGCCAUGUGGUGCAGUUGCUGUAUCGUGCCAGCUGCUUUAAAGUGUCCAAACGCGAGGCGGACUCCUCGCUGAUGCAGCUGAAGGAAGAGUUUCGCACCUACGAUGCGUUGAGGCGAGAGCAUGAUGCACAAAUUGUGCAAAUUGCUACCGAAGCGGGAUUGCGCAUAGCCCCCGAGCAAUGGUCGUCGCUGUUGUACGGCGACAUUGCGCAUAAGUCGCACAUGCAGAGCAUCAUCGACAAGCUGCAGACACCAUCAUCGUUUGCACAGUCGGUGCAGGAGCUGGUUAUAGCUCUGCAACGCACCAGCGAUCCGGCCAAAUUGUCGCAGCUGCACAAUCAUCUGCAGUACUUGGCCAGCAUUGACCCGUGCGUGGAGACAGCACCCUGGGAGGAUGUGUCCAAGGCGCUGGACGCUGUGCGACAUGCAGUUAUGGGACUGGUCCACUUCCUGCAGCAUCACGGCGUACGCAAGCCGCAGGACAGCAGUUUGGCUAGCGGCUCAACGAACAGCAACAACACCAAGUACAAGAUCAGUCUGUGUCGCGAUCUCAACGUGCGUCGUGUGUGUCCACGAGGCGCCAGCUGCACAUUCGCCCACUCCCAGGAGGAAGUCGAACGCUAUCGUGCACGCAAUCGCGGCAAACACAUCAAAUCGCCCAUGCCGAUGGCCAUGCCGAAUAUGCCGGUCAACAACAAUGGCAAGAAGUCGUUGCCCAUGGGCAACGAAGUGCAGCAGCAGCAACAACAACAGCAGCAGCCACCUCCGCCACAUGCGGGUCCCAUGAUGCCCAUAUCGCCCAUACGCUAUAUGCAAGCAUCCGCACCACCGCCACCGCAUAGGGGCUACUUGGAGCCUUUGCCCCCAGCAGUUGCACACAAUCUGUCGCCAAGCGGUGUGCAUGGCCAGCUCAUGCAUCCACAUCACAGUCCCAUUGCUCGACAACAGCAACAACAACAGCAGCAGCAGCAGCACACGGCUUUGAAUGGUCUCUUGGUUGCGCCACCUGGACGCUAUGAGCCACGCUUCAACUUUGGCCCGGCGCCAACGCAGCCACGAAAUGCAGCACGCGACUACUCUGGCAAUGUGGCAGGUGCUGCUGGCGUGCAACGUAACCCACCGAAUUACAACAGCAACAACAACAACAGCAAUAGCAGUCAACUACAACACAAUCAUGCCAAAAGCUUUUGCAGCAUGCUUCCAACGGAUGUCUAUCAUUCGUCCUUCUUUGGCAACACCAACACCAUCAACAACAACAACAACAAUAACGAUGCGCAAGCGAAUAGCAAAGAACAGCCACCCACAAAGCUGGGGCAACAUUUAGCCGCUGGCGGUAAUCCUGGAAAUCCCUGGGAGCAUACGUAUAUGCAACAGCAGCUAGCGACGCUAACGUCGCCGACGUCGUCGUCGUCGUCGUCCAGCAAGAACCCCAAUCGACCGGGCAUGUCGACCAUUUUACCCGCAACAGCUGAUACCUCAUUUUACGAAAAGAAACCGCCGAGUAAUGUUAACAUAGACCUGGAGCUGGUGAAGCCCAUGGGCGAUAGUGGAGCAACCAAUCCAGAUGCGAUACCGCUGCCGCUGUUCAGGUCCAACCACAACACUAGCAACAACAGUGGCAACAGCAACAACACCAACACCAGCAACAAUAGUAGUAACAACAACAACAGCAACAAUAAUAAUAAUAGCUCUCUCAUAUUCUGGAGUACACACAAUAAGGAUUCGGCCAACUUUGUGCGCUCCGAUUCGAUACUGGAUGACGAUGCGUCACCCUAUGAAGUUCCCUCUGGCUCAUCGAUGCACAGUCGCUACGGUCCCAUUUGUCCCAAACGCUCGACGAGCAAUUGGAACAAUUGGAUGAUGGAAAACGAUGUGAAAAUCGGCGAUAAUGCCGUCGCCUUCAAUGACAGGCUGAAAACCGAGCACAAUGACAAUGUCAAUCCAAAUGCCAAUAAGAAUACAGCUGGCGUGUUCAUCUGGAAUGAUUUGAACGCGAAUGCGACGAGUCCAUCGAGCAAUUACUGGAGCAACAACACAAGUGAUGCAGAUGCAGCCGGAGUUGCAGCAAGUGCAAGCCAAGGCGAAAGACUGAAACAUCACCUGAUCCUGGAUAGAAAGCCACAGCUGCUGUCCGAGGACAGUUUCGAGGGUGGCAUCGAUAGCGGCAUGAUGAGCGAGUUGGAAAAGAAUCUGGUUGACAUUGUUGAGGUCUGGUCGAAUCCAGAUGACAGCGGCAUUAAGUUGGAUUAAAUUUGCGACAGCAGAGAACCAGAGCCAGGGAACUAACUCAUCGAACUCACAGUUUGAGGAGGAAACAUAAUGCAAUCAUUUUACAGUUGUGUCCACAAUUUGAAGGACACUUUAGAGUGUAAAGCGAUGAUGACACGACGACGAUGAUCCGAAAGGCUUCUAAACAUGCAUAAAGCCCUACUAUAUAUAGAUACUAUAUGAAAAUGAAAAAAAAAAAAACAAAAACAACAAAAAACUAAAUAUGUAUAUGUAAAUGUAUGUAUGUGCGUAUGUAAUACAUGCGCUAUAUAUUUUAAUUGAUAUAUUAAUAUUAUAUAUUAAUGUCAGAUGAUCCCCCACGUUUGCUUUCGAUUCAAAUGCAAUUUAACAAUGGAUUUUUUUUCGUAAUAUUUGAGCAAAAGUCAAGAACCCAUCAUACCUAUUAUAUUCAUCGUUUGUUUCUAUGAUUGAUCAGUGAAUAAUGAAAAGAAAUGAAAUGUGUUUUGUUAAACCGAUAGAUGUAAAUUAAUUUCUCAGUUGUUAAUGGGAAGUCGAAAACCAAGCGAACGAGUUUAGUUAAUGAAAAGCAAUGCAUACAUAUGUGAAAUGUAUGUAUUUCCUAUAUAUGAUGCAUUAAAUGUAUGUAAUAACUAUGUAUACUUAAGCAACAAACAAAAACAACUAACUGAUUAACGAUAGAGAAAUGCGAAUGAGAUUUGUAAAAAUGUGUAUUUGUAAUCUGAUUUUACACUCAUUUGCCACGCUCCCCAUGCCCACGCAUCACCUCAAUUGAAAUCAAAACCAAAUUAGUCAAUCAAUCAAUCAGUCAAUCGAGCACCCAUCAAUCCUUAAUCCGCAACGUACCCAGCGUACUUAAAAGACACCACACUCGGUAUUCGGGGCAUAAACUGGACGUGGUGCAGUUUUAGUCUAAACCCAAUGGGUUCAUAACUCUCGUUGUUGAGUUGAGUUUUGUAAUCUUAUAAUUAUAGAAAUUGUAAAAACAUACUACAUAUAAUAUGCAAACUAGGUAUGAUAAUUGAAAGCAAUUUUCAAGCUUCUGAAAUCCGUUCGUUUUAUUGCCGCGAGCAAAAGCAUCUAAACAAUUUUUUGAUUAUAUUGUAUCUUAUCUAAAUAUACACAAAAAAAUAUCAUAUUUUAUUUAUAUGUAUUAUGCGUAUUUUUUGUAUUAUUACUAAAAAUGUUAAUCUUAAGCAAUUUUCGAGUUCUGUUAACCCCAAACAACAAACAAUUUAAUUUAUUUUAUUUUUGCCAA